RNAcentral lists this ribosomal RNA (468 nucleotides) under uncultured bacterium. RNAcentral describes it as "partial 16S ribosomal RNA". It matches the Rfam family "Bacterial small subunit ribosomal RNA", at positions 28 to 507 of the family's 1533-position model. The record is from RNAcentral.
GACGAACGCUGGCGGCGUGCUUAACACAUGCAAGUCGAACGGAAAGGCCCUGCUUUUGUGGGGUGCUCGAGUGGCGAACGGGUGAGUAACACGUGAGUAACCUGCCCUUGACUUUGGGAUAACUUCAGGAAACUGGGGCUAAUACCGGAUAGGAGCUCCUGCUGCAUGGUGGGGGUUGGAAAGUUUCGGCGGGUGGGGAUGGACUCGCGGCUUAUCAGCUUGUUGGUGGGGUAGUGGCUUACCAAGGCUUUGACGGGUAGCCGGCCUGAGAGGGUGACCGGCCACAUUGGAACUGAGAUACGGCCCAGACUCCUACGGGAGGCAGCAGUGGGGAAUAUUGCACAAUGGGCGGAAGCCUGAUGCAGCAACGCCGCGUGCGGGAUGACGGCCUUCGGGUUGUAAACCGCUUUCGCCUGUGACGAAGCGUGAGUGACGGUAAUGGGUAAAGAAGCACCGGCUAACUACGUG